UGGAUUAAGGCAGUGGAUUGUGAAUCCACUAUGCGCGGGUUCAAUUCCCGUCGUUCGCC
Molecule: transfer RNA, 59 nt
Filed under: Saltugilia splendens subsp. grantii
Lineage: Eukaryota; Viridiplantae; Streptophyta; Magnoliopsida; Ericales; Polemoniaceae
Description: tRNA-His
Rfam family: tRNA
About the family: Transfer RNA (tRNA) molecules are approximately 80 nucleotides in length. Their secondary structure includes four short double-helical elements and three loops (D, anti-codon, and T loops).
Source: RNAcentral